RNAcentral lists this ribosomal RNA (710 nucleotides) under uncultured bacterium. RNAcentral describes it as "bacterial SSU rRNA". It matches the Rfam family "Bacterial small subunit ribosomal RNA", at positions 94 to 823 of the family's 1533-position model. The record is from RNAcentral.
AGCGGCGGACGGGUGAGUAACGCGUGGGUAACCUGCCCUGUACACACGGAUAACAUACCGAAAGGUAUGCUAAUACGAGAUAAUAUGCUUUUAUCGCAUGGUAGAAGUAUCAAAGCUUUUGCGGUACAGGAUGGACCCGCGUCUGAUUAGCUAGUUGGUAAGGUAACGGCUUACCAAGGCGACGAUCAGUAGCCGACCUGAGAGGGUGAUCGGCCACAUUGGAACUGAGACACGGUCCAAACUCCUACGGGAGGCAGCAGUGGGGAAUAUUGCACAAUGGGCGAAAGCCUGAUGCAGCAACGCCGCGUGAGCGAUGAAGGCCUUCGGGUCGUAAAGCUCUGUCCUCAAGGAAGAUAAUGACGGUACUUGAGGAGGAAGCCCCGGCUAACUACGUGCCAGCAGCCGCGGUAAUACGUAGGGGGCUAGCGUUAUCCGGAAUUACUGGGCGUAAAGGGUGCGUAGGUGGUUUCUUAAGUCAGAGGUGAAAGGCUACGGCUCAACCGUAGUAAGCCUUUGAAACUGGGAAACUUGAGUGCAGGAGAGGAGAGUGGAAUUCCUAGUGUAGCGGUGAAAUGCGUAGACAUUAGGAGGAACACCAGAUGCGAAGGCGGCUCUCUGGACUGUAACUGACACUGAGGCACGAAAGCGUGGGGAGCAAACGGGAUUAGAUACCCUGGUAGUCCACGCCGUAAACGAUGAGUACUAGCUGU